UACGGAGGGUGCAAGCUAUAAUCCGAAUUACUGGGCGUAAAGCGCGCGGAGGUGGUUGGUUAAGUUGGAUGUGAAAGCCCCGGGCUCAACCUGGGAACUGCAUCCAAAACUGGCCGGCUAGAGCACGGUAGAGGGUGGUGGAAUUUCCUGUGUAGCGGUGAAAUGCGUAGAUAUAGGAAGGAACACCAGUGGCGAAGGCGACCACCUGGACUGAUACUGACACUGAGGUGCGAAAGCGUGGGGAGCAAACAGG
RNAcentral lists this unclassified non-coding RNA (253 nucleotides) under uncultured Pseudomonadaceae bacterium. RNAcentral's name for it is "contains 16S-23S intergenic spacer region". It matches the Rfam family "Bacterial small subunit ribosomal RNA", at positions 524 to 776 of the family's 1533-position model. Lineage: Bacteria; Pseudomonadati; Pseudomonadota; Gammaproteobacteria; Pseudomonadales; Pseudomonadaceae. The record is from RNAcentral.